Folsomia candida is the source of this 1785-nucleotide long non-coding RNA. RefSeq lists it as uncharacterized. The record is from RefSeq and is a predicted model, not a curated record. Lineage: Eukaryota; Metazoa; Arthropoda; Collembola; Entomobryomorpha; Isotomidae. The transcript has 2 exons.
CCGUUUGGGGUGAAGUACGUCUGAAGCUACUUCCGUAUGCGCGUUUGCGACGGUUUAUUCACAUAAUAAUCCAUUCAUAAAACUAUCUCUCUCUCUCUCUCUCAUGAAUACAUACUGCACACAAAAGUUAUACCCACACACAUACACACACCGCUUCGUUCGUUCAUCCGUCCAUAUCCAUCCGCUAUUCAGCAACAAAUCUAUCUAUGCAUUCCUAUUUCUAGAGCAGUGUAAGGAUUAAAAGCAAGUACAGGUUCGUGGUGGAUGAAGUUAGGCAAAAUCUCAUAAAUCAUUUCCUGUCUCUGCCUACCAUGUCCGGUGCGUUGCCUAAAUGGCCGAUCCUCUUCCGCUCUUUUCUCUCAACCAGCACAAACCCACCGACCGACCGACCGACGACGACGACGGCCACCACAAAAACCGACCAAAUCAUCCUCCAAUCUAUCUACCUGUUGUUGUUCUGCUCCCCAUCAUCCAUUUACAGUUUAUCAAUCAGCAACAACCUUCCUCCUUCCUUCCUCUCUCGCCCAAAUCUAGAAUGAAACGUCUGCCCCUCUCGCUCUCCCUCCCUCCCUCCAUUCACAAACAACCACCACCAACCAAACCAACCAAUUUCCAACCAAUGCACAGUUUUUCCACGACCCCAACAACAACGGAUCAAGAAGAAGACGAAGAAGAAGGAGGCAAACAUUAAGAAGAAGGCCAACAACCAGACCUUAAACCUGACAUAUGGACUCGAAUGAUUGUAGGAGCAGAGGAGCUUUACUUACUUACUUAGGCUUUCGCCUUUUGUUACCCAUGCACAAAUAAAUCCGAGUCUUAUAAUGUUCAAUAUUAUUAUUAUUAUUGCUUUGCCUAGCUCCCAAGGAGGAAGGGAGGAGUAUUACGCGUGAGUAUAUUUUAAUUCUCUCAAACUCCUCUGCAUCCUGCCAGGAAGGAAGGCCAGCAAAAGUCGACGACGAGUGUUACAUACAUACGUCCAUCCACAUGCUGCUCCUUAAAAGCCAGUUCCUUAAAGAAGAAGAAGAAUAUUAUAUUAUCAUCGUCUUGCUGCUGCUGCCAUGCUGCCCAAGAAGAAGACGAAAAAGUUGAAGAAGUUUCCUUCAACUUCAACCUGCCCUUCCUGCUCCUUCUUCGAAUCACUACCAACACCACCACCACAAAAGAAGACUUUUAAGCUGAUUCAAUCUCUGCCUUCUCAAAGUACAAUAGACUUUAAAGCCAAACAUAUUUUACUUUACUGCCUUGCCAUCCAGCCCUAGUGGAUAUCUACCUACGCACAAAAAAACUGGGUUCUUCCGUCCGUCCGUCCGUCUUCCAAAUGGUACCAAAGAGAGCAGAGAUUAUCAUUCAUUAAAACCCCACCUGCUCGUCCUUUUCCUUUUUCAAUGCCUCCUCCGUAUGGUCUCGCGUAAGAACGAAGAAGGAGAAAGGAUCGUUUCCUUCUUCGGAAUAAUAAUAAAUCCAAAUCUCUACAACACACUGAUUUUUUUUCUCUCUCGACCCAGCCAGCAUUAGUCUUAUUAUUCAUCACUUCCUUUUCCACUCACCACUACUUAAAACUACGACAAGGAGGACUUAACAGGAGAGGAGAGGGAAGAGGGGACUUAAAAAAACGGAGCGUAUGGGCAAAACCUAAAUCUUUCUACUACGCACUCUAAUAAUAAACCUGGCUUUAAGAAGAAAAAAAUCAUCUAUUUUAUUACCACUUCACUACCAAAACCUGUGUGUAAUUUCUGCUGCCUGCUGCUGUCUGAUUAAACAACAAUGCAUUCAUUCUGAUCCUUA